Molecule: transfer RNA, 77 nt
Filed under: Maritalea mobilis
Lineage: Bacteria; Pseudomonadati; Pseudomonadota; Alphaproteobacteria; Hyphomicrobiales; Devosiaceae
Description: tRNA-Arg
Rfam family: tRNA
About the family: Transfer RNA (tRNA) molecules are approximately 80 nucleotides in length. Their secondary structure includes four short double-helical elements and three loops (D, anti-codon, and T loops).
Source: RNAcentral
GGUCCCGUAGCUCAGUAGGAUAGAGCAUCAGAUUCCUAAUCUGAGGGUCGCGCGUUCGAAUCGCGCCGGGAUCACCA